RNAcentral lists this ribosomal RNA (253 nucleotides) under uncultured bacterium. RNAcentral's name for it is "partial 16S ribosomal RNA". It matches the Rfam family "Bacterial small subunit ribosomal RNA", at positions 524 to 776 of the family's 1533-position model. The record is from RNAcentral.
GACGGAGGAUGCAAGUGUUAUCCGGAAUCACUGGGCGUAAAGCGUCUGUAGGUGGUCAAAUAAGUCAACUGUUAAAUCUUGAGGCUCAACCUCAAAAUCGCAGUCGAAACUAUUCGACUAGAGUAUAGUAGGGGUAAAGGGAAUUUCCAGUGGAGCGGUGAAAUGCGUAGAGAUUGGAAAGAACACCGAUGGCGAAAGCGGCGUGCUGGAUCCCUACUGACGCUGAGGCACGAAAGCCAGGGGAGCAAACGGG